CGGCCGGAAGACUCACCGAAAACUACCGUCGAAGUCUACUCCGGUCAAGAUCAUGAUGCAAGGAGCCUUUUUUGGAAGGGAAAAGAGAAUGUGGGUGGCCGGAGUCCCAUUUUCCAUCGAGAAAUCAGAAAAACCCGCGAGGAACAACUCUCUACAGGAUCUUUGAAGAAGUUUGGCCGAGACUUCAACCCAAAGGCGGAGAUCCGAGAGUCGUCCGAGAACGGGACCUAAUUUAAAGAAAUCAGUAUUUUUGGACACCUCACAGGCAAAGAAACGCUAGCAAAAAGGGCACUCGUCAACCAGGUAAGUCACCACCCGGUAUUUAGGAAGAAAUACUUGUAGGAUUCGCUUGGAUUGCAUGCAUGCUAAUUAUUUUGCUUCCGAUUAGCUCUCAUUGUAAAA
Molecule: non-coding RNA, 402 nt
Organism: Cucurbita pepo subsp. pepo (vegetable marrow)
Lineage: Eukaryota; Viridiplantae; Streptophyta; Magnoliopsida; Cucurbitales; Cucurbitaceae
Source: RefSeq, a predicted model, not a curated record